This 328-nucleotide small nuclear RNA is filed under the name Peromyscus maniculatus bairdii (prairie deer mouse). RNAcentral describes it as "7SK RNA (ENSPEMG00000003772.2)". It matches the Rfam family "7SK RNA". Rfam says of the family: 7SK was discovered as an abundant small nuclear RNA in the mid-70s but a possible function has only recently been suggested. Two independent studies have found that 7SK RNA binds the CDK9/cyclin T complex (known as elongation factor P-TEFb). Lineage: Eukaryota; Metazoa; Chordata; Mammalia; Rodentia; Cricetidae. The record is from Rfam by way of RNAcentral.
AGAUAUGAGGGCAAUGUGGCUUUGACAUCUGUCAUCUCACUGGUUCCCAGUGUUGAUUCAGCUGAUCUGGCUAUCUAGAUAAAUGUCCUCCCACUCCCUCGCUGUCCCACAUGUUCCUUCUGAAGCUGCAUGCUCUACAGACGAUGACCUUCUCCAGUGGAGAAAGGAGCAUCCUUCAGUCAGGAGUAUCCACAUAGCUACAUUCCCCUGCUGGAACCUCCAGACAAGUCCUGGAGGUCAAAUGCUGCCCUCCCCAGCCUCACGGAGAUCGGAACCCGGUACGUGGCUUUGUGCUCACAGCUCCAAGAUGCACGUCAUGGCAUCUUGG